AUUGAACGCUGGCGGCAGGCCUAACACAUGCAAGUCGAGCGGAGCGGAGGACGGGUGAGUAAUGCCUAGGAAUCUGCCUGGUAGUGUGGGAUAACGUCCGGAAACGGGCGCUAAUACCGCAUACUAUCAGAAGAGCCUAGGUCGGAUUAGCUGUUUUGUGGGGUAAAGGCCUACCAAGGCGACGAUCCGUAGCUGGUCUGAGAGGAUGAUCAGUCACACUGGCACUGAGACUCGGUCCAUAUGUCUCCGGGAGGCAGCAGAGGGGAAUAUUGGACAAUGGGCGAAAGCCUGAUCCAGCCAUGCCGCGUGUUUGAAGAAGGUCUUCGGAUUGUAAAGCACUUUAAGUUGGGAGGCGUUACCAACAGAAUAAGCACCGGCUAACUUCGUGCCAGCAGCCGCGGUAAUUC
RNAcentral lists this ribosomal RNA (407 nucleotides) under uncultured bacterium. Its description in RNAcentral is "partial 16S ribosomal RNA". It matches the Rfam family "Bacterial small subunit ribosomal RNA", at positions 30 to 526 of the family's 1533-position model. The record is from RNAcentral.